This 478-nucleotide ribosomal RNA is filed under the name uncultured bacterium. Its description in RNAcentral is "partial 16S ribosomal RNA". It matches the Rfam family "Bacterial small subunit ribosomal RNA", at positions 28 to 523 of the family's 1533-position model. The record is from RNAcentral.
AGUGAACGCUGGCGGCGUGCUUAACACAUGCAAGUCGAACGGUAAGGCCCUUCGGGGUACACGAGUGGCGAACGGGUGAGUAACACGUGGGUGAUCUGCCCUGCACUUCGGGAUAAGCCUGGGAAACUGGGUCUAAUACCGGAUAGGACCACUGCCUGCAUGGGUGGUGGUGGAAAGCUUUUGCGGUGUGGGGUGGGCCCGCGGCCUAUCAGCUUGUUGGUGGGGUGAUGGGCUACCAAGGCGACGACGGGUAGCCGGCCUGAGAGGGUGACCGGCCACACUGGGACUGAGAUACGGCCCAGACUCCUACGGGAGGCAGCAGUGGGGAAUAUUGCACAAUGGGCGCAAGCCUGAUGCAGCGACGCCGCGUGAGGGAUGACGGCCUUCGGGUUGUAAACCUCUUUCAGCACCGACGAAGCGCAAGUGACGGUAGGUGCAGAAGAAGGACCGGCCAACUACGUGCCAGCCGCCGCCGUAA